RNAcentral lists this long non-coding RNA (1653 nucleotides) under Spirodela polyrhiza (greater duckweed). Its description in RNAcentral is "long non-coding RNA (SPOL_LNC002190)". The record is from RNAcentral. Lineage: Eukaryota; Viridiplantae; Streptophyta; Magnoliopsida; Alismatales; Araceae.
GGUUUUUUCUCUCUCUCUCUCUCUCUCUCAGCGGCGCCUCUCUCUCCGUCUUCCUCGCAGCGGGGCGGCUCUUCUCCUCCCAGGAUUCGCCAUGGCGGAGCAGGUGGGGGAAUUUUAUGGCCUCUGUGCCUUUGAUACCUUCAUGCUGUGGCUCUGGAUCGAGUUUCCUUACGAUCCUGUUCGCUCUUCACGAAUCAUUUUUUCUUUCGAUUCCGGGGAGUAUUAUAUCCGCCGAAUCGUCCAUACACCAGUUUCCAAAUCUCCUUCUUCUUAGCUACUUUCUGAUCGCGACAUGAGGUUUCGUCGAUGCCAUCGUUUGAUCUGCUCCUAGUUUCUAGUGGAGUGAGAGAGAUACCUCGUCAGUAAGUUUGCCCCGCGCCUUUUUUAAUGUUUUGAAAUCCCUUUUUGGCAGACUGAGAAGGCUUUCCUCAAACAGCCGAAAUUAUUCCUCUGGCAUGAUUGACUGGGAUUUACAAUUUUCAAUCUGUCGAUUCUCUCUUGCCAUCUCUUUUUUUGCCGUUUCUGAGCAGCAGGGUUGAAUAAUUCUUUUCCCGAUAGCGUGGUCACAGCUCAAAGAAGCCUGGGCCAUCUCUGUUGCAGUUCUUAGAGUUUUCUCUCUUAUAAUGUGGUAGGCUCAGGUAUUUUUAUUAAUUAAACGAGUACUCCAUCUCGAUUGUAUUGGUGGGGGGGCUACUAUGAUAAGCAUUAAAUCGUGCAAUAAUUCAUAUGAUUCAUACGGGAUGGGGAUUGGAUGUUCAAAUCUAAUUUUAUGAAUUAAUGAUGUCUCGCUCUCGUAAGCGCAUGUUUCCUUUUCAUAGUAGAAAACAGACUUUGCCCAUGCAACACUGGAUGAUAGUUUAAGUUUAUAUAAAAAAAUCUGCCAAAUUAAUAUAACUUUAAGAAUUAUGAAACUACAUUAUCUUAAAUUUUUUAUUAUUACAAACAUAAUGAAUCGACCGAAACUAGUCCCUUUGCUUUGACCCAUCACUCCCCAGAAAACGGCCUCUUGGCUAGUUAUUUGUUCUCUUCUUUGCUCGUAUAGCUACUAGACAGCUGAUAUAUCACAGAAAGAAAUAAACCACGAUUAACUCUCUCUCUCUCUUUCUCUCUCUCUCUCUCUCUCCGUUGACAUCUGAUUUAUCACAGAAAGAGCAGCAGCAGUAGGGCCCUGACAUGACAGAGGGAAGUCUACCGAACCAUACAGAGCUAAACGGACAAAGUACUAAGCUGGCAUGGUGGCCCGCAACGCAGCCCAAACGAUAACUACACAGGCCGGUCGUUCGGUGGGAACGCCACAGCAACGGUCAUGGUUGACUUUGACUCUGACUUUGGAGUGCCCACCCCUUCUGCGCGACAAGCUGGGUGGCAAGUCAGAGUCGAGGAGGCCACAAGUCCUGAGAAGUAGGCGAAUUCUGUGGGAACACCCACUCAGCAAGCAAGGAAGAACCCUAGGAGUUCAAUGAAAAGAAUAGGCGCAGCCAUUGCCGAAGCUUAUUUGUCGCAAAGAUACCCACAGAGAGUCAUUAUCGGACUAAAGUGUUCAUUAAUGAAAAUAAUUAAAACCCUUCCAUUCCUACCGACCCACCGAAAAACGACCUCUAAGAUAGAUGGGUUUAAACCUACAAGAUCCAGAGCAGGACUGAUUAAGAAGCC